This 253-nucleotide ribosomal RNA is filed under the name uncultured bacterium. Its description in RNAcentral is "partial 16S ribosomal RNA". It matches the Rfam family "Bacterial small subunit ribosomal RNA", at positions 524 to 776 of the family's 1533-position model. The record is from RNAcentral.
UACGUAGGGGGCAAGCGUUAUCCGGAUUUACUGGGUGUAAAGGGGGCGCAGACGGCAGCGCAAGCCAGGAGUGAAAGCCCGGGGCCCAACCCCGGGACUGCUCUUGGAACUGCGCGGCUGGAGUGCAGGAGGGGCAGGCGGAAUUCCUGGUGUAGCGGUGAAAUGCUUAGAUAUCAGGAGGAACACCGGUGGCGAAGGCGGCCUGCUGGACUGCGACUGACGUUGAGGCCCGAAAGCGUGGGGAGCAAACAGG